This 2134-nucleotide long non-coding RNA is filed under the name Salmo salar (Atlantic salmon). RNAcentral's name for it is "lncRNA (ENSSSAG00000110558.1)". The record is from RNAcentral. Lineage: Eukaryota; Metazoa; Chordata; Actinopteri; Salmoniformes; Salmonidae.
GGGGGUGUCUGGGAGCCGUUCAUGCUAAAUUGGAUGAAGACGGCAGUACUGAAGCUGAGGAGAUCCGAGAGUGGAGAUGUCACGUCCUUUCACCAGGAUCUGUCUGAAGGCCAAAUAGAGAAGGAAUGCAGUCAUGGAAUGUUAAAGUAUGCUACAAAGAAAGGGUAUAGUGGCUACAAGGCUACAUUCAGGUGCUUACUAGUUUUAUGUGGCGAAAUACCUGACAAGGGCAGUGAAUUUAUUAGACACAAAGCUUUACUUGAUUUGUAGUGUCGUUUGAGAGUAACGUUAAAAUGUUCAAAUCGAGUAGCUGAUUUGGAUCUAGGGGCAGAGACGGACUUGAUUUGAUAUAUUUGAAUGUAUAAUACUUAAUUGUAAUUAGUGGCAAAGCUAGAAUACAUCAUCGUCACCAUCUCCACCAUCACCACCACCUUUACCCUCCUCUUCAUCGUUAUCCUCAAAGCUAAUGGGCGGACCAGAAACCCAGUGUCAUCACUCGGGUCUGUAACUGCCAUUUUCCGCUGGGAAAGAGAAAUGAACCUGUACUUACCAGAAAAGGUAGCUCAUCCACCAUGGCAGAAGAGGCAGACCCAGACUGUUGAUUCGAAAACAAUAACAAAACAUUUGGCAUGAGGAUUGGGUGUUGAGGGACCACUUGUCACAUUGUCCAAGUCCAACAGGAGUGCAUCCCUAAGGCCAUCCAGCGCAUGGACAUCCUGUGUCAGUGUGAUCCGACUGCGAGCGUCCAGUUGUGGAGACUACAGCACAUCGAGCCUGCGGACGGACAGAACGUCAGGCUCACCUCACAAGAAGCAGUGCAUGAUCAACGCCACCCUCAGCGAGGAGAUCUGCUGGAAGUGAUGUACUCUCUCGCUCUCUCUCUCUUAUCGGGAUCGUGGUGAAGGAUUUGCACCCUGUGAUGUGAUCGCAUGCACACUGUGUAGAGAACACUCUACAAAGGCCUCCAAGGGGAACUGCCUAACCUGUCUGUCCUGAAUGCGUCCGAGGUAUACAAGGACUUUCCCAUUGAUCACCACAAUGCAGUGUACACCACAAUGUACUUAGGGAAGACUGCCACGUCCGAGGGCAGAGCUCAGUGGAGAACCUGGCAGACCGAAUUAUCAAAGGAACCCCGGCAGCGAUGAAGAGGGGUCUGGCCAUGGAGCCUGCUGCUGUCCGCUGAUCUACGAUCCCAUUGAGAGCCCACUGUUUGGCCUACUGGAGAUCAUGUGUCCAAACUCCAAGAGUUACGUUGACUGCCCCUACCUGAAAGCUCCAGUGUGGCAAACUGGAGCUAAAGCCACAGCGCACCUACUACUGGCCGGUACAAGGUCAGAUGCUAAUAACAUGGCUGGAGUGGUGCGACUUCGUUGAAGAGGGCAUGCUAAUCCAGCGCAUCUACAAAGGCAGUGGGGUGGCAAACACCAUCAGGCAAAAGGCAGACCAUUUCUUUUUUCAUUUUUGUCUCGAUAUCUACAUGAAAUGAUUUACUUCAAACAUGGCUAUGCCUGAGGGAUGUACAGGGAAACUUGUUUUGAUGUACAAUUUUGGAGUGAAUCCUAUUUUCAUUCAUGUUCGUUCAUCAUUGAUGUUGACUGCUUAAACAUGUUAAACUGAUGUCUUUACUCAUUGAACACAUUGUGGAGCAUACAGGUUACUUGUGUGUUCCAAUUUUUCUAAACUGGUUGCCAGGUGAAGAGGUGUGACACAAGGGAUAAUGCAACUGUCAUGUCUGCUCCCGCUCUUCCCUCCCCCUGGCGCUUGAGGGCGCAAGGUUUCCCUGCAUCACGCACUCCUGCCAUCCAUCAUGCACACCUGCCUUCCCUCGUCACGCACAUCAGCGUUAUUGGACUCACCUGGACUCACUUAUCACCUGUUAAUUACCUCCCCUAUAUUUGUCAGUUCCCCAGCUCUGUUCCCCGCUGCUGCAUUGUGUUGUUUUUGUCUUUAGUAUUAGUUUGCUGACGCUGUUCCUGUCUCGUUCCAUGUCCGUCUUUAUUAAAUGUUUUACUCCCCGUACUUGCUUCGUCUCUCCAGCGUCAAUUCCAUGUGACAGCAACAAUAUGAGGUUUAAGGCAAACAAUAGCCUUAAGGCAAACAAUAGCCAUAGUAUUUAAUUAGAACUUAAUGUAGG